Molecule: non-coding RNA, 3021 nt
Organism: Callithrix jacchus (white-tufted-ear marmoset)
Lineage: Eukaryota; Metazoa; Chordata; Mammalia; Primates; Cebidae
Source: RefSeq, a predicted model, not a curated record
CAGUCCAAGAGCGAGCUGCUGUGCUGACCUGGGGCAUAGGGUUUGAGAGGUGACCCACACUGCUCCCUGGCAGGUCCUGCCUGGGGGGACACAUGUAACAUCCAACACACAGGUACCUCUACAGACUUCAAGGACCAAGGAGGUGCCCCUCACGAAGAGGAACUGGCUCUCACCCCUUCCAUUUUCUCUUCAAGCGGCAGGCCCAGCCCCUGGGAUGUCCAACGGCUCCCUGAGGGCCCUGAGGCUGCUGAGAACUGACGGAGUAAGGCACUCACUCUCACCCCCUUUGGACAGACUGGCAAGUCCACUAUGCACCCUAGACAGUGAGGGGUUAAGAACAAUUUCUGAUUGCAAUUGGAUGACUUCCUGGAUCACUCACUUGGCUGUUGGCCCCUGACACACAGGGCUCUGCCUGGCAACAGCCAAUUCCCUUUCCAUCUCACCCUCAGGUCAUUUUCCUUAAGUGAAACAAAUGCAUGGAAAGCUCCCUGAGUCACGCGGCGGGGGAUUUUUCUGAGUUAAAUGAACUGAAGCCUCAGAGGCCUAGCACCACCCAGCCUCCUUUCCUGGAAAACAGAUUCCCAUUCCCAAAUAGACAUGACAGGGGCUGGGGGAGCUUCAGGACAGACCAAAAAAUAAUGACAGCGCCUCCCACCUAGGGUGGGUGAGGAUGACCUGAGAUGUGACACCUGACAAGGCGCUGCAGUUACCAAGGCUCAAGGGACGGCAGCUCAUUCUCAGUAAUUCCUCAGCUAGGAGGCGCAGCCCGGGACGUCACAGCUGAGCACGUCAGCCACAGGAGAGCCACUGCAGUGACCCACGCUCCGUUGGUCAUACCACGCAUUAACGGCAUGAGUAGCUGGCUCUGAAUUUGUAGAAAGAUAUAACCCCUUUCUUCCCAAAGAAGUCUGUGGUUUAGGCCUAAAAAAUGUGUUACACUGUCGUUCCCACUCCUUCAGCCAACCUCUCCUCCCUGAGGCCCAGUUCUGUGAAGGGGACAUGGACUCCAAGGGCUGGCCACCCCAGGCAUCUAUCAGGACAGCGGUCACCCGGCACUUCCUCCCACCGUGCAGCCACUGCAGAAACGGCUGGAGCUGCCCACGGACAAGUAUGCAGCCCCUCAGGAAGGCAAGAACAUUCUAAGGGACUUCCAAGAGGAAUGUAACUCGGUCUCACUAGCCAGCGGAAGAUUUCCUAGGAGAAACACUCAGAAGGCCCCGGAAGAGAAAUGAAUGAAAGAUAAUACAACACCCAGGAAGUAAGAUAAUUUUUAAAAGAGGGCACUUUGGCAGUGGUGAAGCAGGUGAAACGGUCGAAUACAACGCCUGUCGUUUCAAAGAAAAGUUCCCGUAAAGCUGAUACGACACGUCCAGGUUGAUCGGCAAUCCCACCUCCUCUUUCUACCCAACAAGCCGAGCCAGUUCUAGGCCGAGACGAAGGGAUUCCGGGACACUUCAAAGGGCUUCUGCGCAUCCUGAGCCCUCAGUCGCUCCAGCCCGGUCUCGGCCCCGCACCGCGCUCCUCCAGCUGCCUCACAGCCCGAAGCGGGGCGGCCCAGGCGGGAAGCGGGUUCCCGGACAACCGCCCUGGAAAGGCCAGGCUCCGGGCGGACGCCUCAGGGGGUCCGAAGCAGGGGUACUGGAGCGGUCACCGGGAGAGUCGGGGCGUGCCACCACGUCCCCUCGCGGAUCUUUCCUCGCCUGCCCUUCCAAGUUUCUGCUGAGUCCGGUUCAAUCAGUCCCCCGGCCAUAGCCACCGCGGCACAGGCCUUCCCCCUUCUCUACCACGCGACCGACCGGGCCCACCUCGGCUCCCCGGGCUCAGUCCAGUACCUGCACGUCUUCAUUGCGGAGCUCGUCGAUUAAAACCGCGACAGGGUAUAGCGAAUCGUCUCCACCUCCGCCGGCUGCUCCCGGGCAGGUCCCGGGCCCCGCUGCGCCCGCCAUGUUCUUUCUCCUCCUACUGCUGGUCACCGCCUCCCGCCCCGCGCCCAGGCCCCGCCCCGCGCCCAGCCCCCGCCCCGCUCCCAGGCCCCGCCCCGCGCCCUGGCAGGAGGGACUAAAGCUGCCACGCGAGUUGAGCCGAGGUUGAGGAGCUGAGUUUCUGUCCCGAUGAUUAAGGCUCCCUUCCGACCCCCAAUGCAGGAGUUGUAGGUCUGAACUCAAGAAGAUGGGUGGACUGAGAAAGCGAAUGGAACCCCUGCGUCCUUUCCCUAGCCGAAAGAAACAGGGACAGUGAUUCAUCCGGCUCGUCUGAAGGGGCCAGGGACCUACCUGGGUGAUCCGCGCUGUGCCCUCUUAAGACUCAGGCGGACCAAAGAGAGUGCCCGAGGCCAGGAGGAAGAAGGCUUUAGCACCUCCCCUGACUGCAUCCUGGCACUGAGCCACAGGAUCUCCAGCCCUAAUUACUCAGCUCAGCCUCAAGCUUCCACAGAACCCCUCCACCUCUUCCCUCGGCCUGUUCUCCAGAAUGGUAUCUGGCUCCUGCUCCAUAAGACAAAUAACGCGGGCGGUGAGAGAAAAUGAACAGUGCUGUCCAAACUCCCCAGUCAAUAUUUUUUCCACGCAAGCUGUUAAAAACAUGCUGCUCUCUUGUUUUUGUGUUUCUUUUCAGUUUGGUACUGGAAUGGUGCCUUCUGUUGUAUUUUCUUCCUCCCAUUUUUCAGCUCUUUAGCAUGCUAGAAGUACAACAAUGAAGCAAAACUAGGACAAGCUUUAAUCCUUCCAAACUGGGUGGGGUGGCUACUUUGCUUGAAUAAGAAAACCCAGACUGGCCUCCCUAAACCCCCAAGAGUCCUCAGAGGCAGCAAGGGGAAGAAGUGGAGAUCUGGGAGCUCCUUCUUACAAAACUGAAUGGCAAGUUUUCACCUACCCGUGUCAGGGCAGCACAGAAUAACUAGAAUGUCCUUUUUGUUUGUUUUAGACUGGAAUUUAAGCAGCUUGGAGUGAUAACUACAUAUGGUGAUCGCAAGUCCUGAAAUGGUAAUUCUAUGUGCCUGAUUAAUAAAAUUAAAACUAUUAA